AGCCGCGAGGUAGAUACACCAAAAUGCAAAUUUGGAGACGCACCCCCAAAGGGUGCCGGGGCUU
RNAcentral lists this transfer RNA (64 nucleotides) under Gehyra dubia. RNAcentral describes it as "tRNA-Cys". Lineage: Eukaryota; Metazoa; Chordata; Lepidosauria; Squamata; Gekkonidae. The record is from RNAcentral.